UCCGACGUAGUCUAGUCGGCUAGGAUACAUGGCUCUCACCCAUGCGACCCGGGUUCGAUUCCCGGCGUCGGAG
Molecule: transfer RNA, 73 nt
Organism: Cryptosporidium muris RN66
Lineage: Eukaryota; Apicomplexa; Conoidasida; Eucoccidiorida; Cryptosporidiidae
Rfam family: tRNA
About the family: Transfer RNA (tRNA) molecules are approximately 80 nucleotides in length. Their secondary structure includes four short double-helical elements and three loops (D, anti-codon, and T loops).
Source: Rfam